CCUACGGGGGGCAGCAGUGGGGAAUAUUGGACAAUGGGCGAAAGCCUGAUCCAGCCAUGCCGCGUGUGUGAAGAAGGUCUUCGGGUUGUAAAGCACUUUCAGUGGGGAAGAAAGCCUUGGGGCUAAUACCCUCGAGGAAGGACAUCACCCACAGAAGAAGCACCGGCUAACUCCGUGCCAGCAGCCGCGGUAAUACGGAGGGUGCGAGCGUUAAUCGGAAUUACUGGGCGUAAAGCGCGCGUAGGCGGUCUGAUAAGCCGGUUGUGAAAGCCCCGGGCUCAACCUGGGAACGGCAUCCGGAACUGUCAGGCUAGAGUGCAGGAGAGGAAGGUAGAAUUCCCGGUGUAGCAGUGAAAUGCGUAGAGAUCGGGAGGAAUACCAGUGGCGAAGGCGGCCUUCUGGACUGACACUGACGCUGAGGUGCGAAAGCGUGGGUAGCAAACAGGAUUAGAUACCCCGGUAGUC
Molecule: ribosomal RNA, 465 nt
Filed under: Vreelandella stevensii
Lineage: Bacteria; Pseudomonadati; Pseudomonadota; Gammaproteobacteria; Oceanospirillales; Halomonadaceae
Description: partial 16S ribosomal RNA
Rfam family: Bacterial small subunit ribosomal RNA
Source: RNAcentral